CUACGGGGGGCACCAGUGGGCAAUAUUGGACAAUGGGCGCAAGCCUGAUCCAGCAAUGCCGCGUGAGUGAAGACGGCCUUAGGGUUGUAAAACUCUUUCGCUAGGGAAGAUAAUGACUGUACCUAGUAAAGAAGUCCCGGCUAACUCCGUGCCAGCAGCCGCGGUAAUACGGGAGGGGACUAGCGUUGUUCGGAAUUACUGGGCGUAAAGAGUUCGUAGGCGGACUGACAAGUUAGAGGUGAAAUCCCAGGGCUCAACCCUGGAACUGCCUUUAAAACUGUCAGUCUAGAGACCGGAAGAGGUUAGGGGAAUACCUAGUGUAGAGGUGAAAUUCGUAGAUAUUAGGUGGAACACCAGUGGCGAAGGCGCCUAACUGGUCCGGUACUGACGCUGAGGAACGAAAGCGUGGGGAGCAAACAGGAUUAGAUACCCCUGUAGUC
This 440-nucleotide ribosomal RNA is filed under the name uncultured bacterium. RNAcentral describes it as "partial 16S ribosomal RNA". It matches the Rfam family "Bacterial small subunit ribosomal RNA", at positions 339 to 795 of the family's 1533-position model. The record is from RNAcentral.